UGAGGAAUAUUGGGCAAUGCCCGCAAGGGUGACCCAGCAACGCCGCGUGGAGGAUGAAUGUCGUAAGAUUGUAAACUCCUGUUAGAGGGGAAGAAUAGUACCGGUUGGACCGGUAUAUGACUGUACCCUCAGAGAAAGCCCCGGCUAACUACGUGCCAGCAGCCGCGGUAAUACGUAGGGGGCAAGCGUUGUCCGGAUUUACUGGGUGUAAAGGGAGCGCAGGCGGGAUAAAAAGUCAGUGGUGAAAUCCUACAGCUUAACUGUAGAACUGCCUUUGAUACUUUUAUUCUUGAGUUCGGGAGAGAGAGACGGAAUUCCAGGUGUAGUGGUGAAAUACGUAGAUAUCUGGAAGAACACCAGUUGCGAAGGCGGUCUCUUGGUCCGACACUGACGCUGAGGCGCGAAAGCGUGGGGAGCAAAC
Molecule: ribosomal RNA, 421 nt
Filed under: uncultured bacterium
Lineage: Bacteria
Description: bacterial SSU rRNA
Rfam family: Bacterial small subunit ribosomal RNA
Source: RNAcentral